GAUGAACGCUGGCGGCGUGCCUAAUACAUGCAAGUCGAGCGAACAGAUAAGGAGCUUGCUCCUCUGACGUUAGCGGCGGACGGGUGAGUAACACGUGGGUAACCUACCUAUAAGACUGGGAUAACUUCGGGAAACCGGAGCUAAUACCGGAUAAUAUUUCGAACCGCAUGGUUCGAUAGUGAAAGAUGGUUUUGCUAUCACUUAUAGAUGGACCCGCGCCGUAUUAGCUAGUUGGUAAGGUAACGGCUUACCAAGGCGACGAUACGUAGCCGACCUGAGAGGGUGAUCGGCCACACUGGAACUGAGACACGGUCCAGACUCCUACGGGAGGCAGCAGUAGGGAAUCUUCCGCAAUGGGCGAAAGCCUGACGGAGCAACGCCGCGUGAGUGAUGAAGGUCUUCGGAUCGUAAAACUCUGUUAUUAGGGAAGAACAUACGUGUAAGUAACUGUGCACGUCUUGACGGUACCUAAUCAGAAAGCCACGGCUAACUACGUG
RNAcentral lists this ribosomal RNA (497 nucleotides) under uncultured bacterium. Its description in RNAcentral is "partial 16S ribosomal RNA". It matches the Rfam family "Bacterial small subunit ribosomal RNA", at positions 28 to 507 of the family's 1533-position model. The record is from RNAcentral.